CAAGAAUUAAUAUUUUUAACGACCAUUUAUUAACGAUAGGAAUUAAUUUUGGUCGUUAAAAAUGCACAAAUAGUGAUUCCCGCCGAAUAGAUGGAUCUUUAACGACCAAUAUUAUUUAAGUCGUUUUAGAUGAUGUUAAUCCCGUCGUUAAUAGUGUAGAUUUGGCGCUUUUUUUUUUUUUUUCGUUUACCGCAAAUUUUUUUGCAACUUUCCCACGCAACCUCUCGACUCAGCCAUUCACAGAGUCACACCCCCCUCUCUCUCUGUUCUUUCUAUAUCUCUCUCUCUCUCUCUCUCUCUCUCUCUCUCUCUCUGGCACCUCCCCAAACCCUUUGCUCUACACCUACCCCCAUUUCCCUCUUUCCCAUUCACAGAGUCACCCCAUCUCUCUCUCUCUCUGUUACUUUCUCUCUCUCUCUCUCGCCCCCUCCCCAAACCCUUCGCUCCUCUUCACUUUCCCCCUUCUCCUCCUUUCCCCAAAGUAAUCCCGCAUCCCGCACCCCACACGCUCGCGAGAGACGGCGCAUGCGAGCUAGCGACGGCGCACGCAACAAGAAGCAGAUCCUGGACGCACUACGGCACUAGCUUCUCUCACUAGUUCGUCAACACGAGCGACGGCGCAUGCGAGCUAGCGACGGCGUGCGGGACAAGAAGUGGAUCUCGGAUGCGCGCGAGCCCUCUGUCGGCCUGAAGCGGAUCCUGGACGACGGCACUAGCUUCUCUCACUAGUUCGUCGACGCUAGCCCCUCUCACUAGUAUUUGAAUUACAUAUAUAUUUCUCUUUCCAUGCUGCGAUUACAUUGGGAAGUGCAUUUUUUGCUCCACUUAUUUUCUCUCUUGCAGUCGUUAUAUUAGCUAAUGUAUAGUUAGAGGUGAGCAUGCACAAAAAAUCAGUUAAAAACAGUAAGAUUUCUUCGUAGCUUUUUUAAUUUAAAGUGGCACGUCAAAUAUUUGAUAACUUCGGAGGUUCAUUAUGGUCAUCAUGAUUUUGUUCAUCCAGGACAUAUUCUGGUGUCCGUAACAUAAAGUGACAGAGUUUGGGCCAAUUGCUAUUGAAAUUCUCAAAAAUAGGUGUGAUAGAGGUUAAUGGAAGGUCUCAGACUUGAUAAUUGGCCCAAGUAGAUAUAUUCUUUCUUCCAAAUUGUGUUCCAAUUCUUCUUUUCUUUUCGCAUUGUUUCUAUGCAUUCGAUACAUGCUUCUUUUGCCAUAAAUUAAGAAGUUUAGCGGCCUCUCUGCUUUGCACACGAGGUUAAUUAAGCAAUCUCCUUACUUUUUGAUUUAGGCUAUGCCAUAAUGUUAUAGCAGCUUUCAUCCGACAGCGGAGAAGAUUGUUCUUUUCAUCCAACAUCAGACUAUUUAGCUACUAUUAUAAGUUUUUUUUUCAUAUUCAAGUCUUGAGAAGAUUGAUCUUUUCUAACAGCGAUCUCAAGCUUGAAGUGCGUAUGAGAGGGAGGACUAUAGAACAGCUAAAGAUCUUUGCCCCUCACUCUUUCCAAAGAAAAAUUGCAGAUUGAAGCUACUUCCUCUUUUUUAUAUUCUCCAAGAUAGUUCAUGAUGAUUUUUGGGACAAGAAAGACAAUGAAUUGCAAGAUCCUUUUUUUUGUUUUUAAGUUGAUCUUUUUUUGGAAAAAUGAUGAUAGUACUUCAUUUUAACACUUUGUUCUUUUGGUGAAUGUUGACUAUAUGUGUAAUGCAGUGAUGGAAACUAAUGUGUACUAGAUGAAUGGUUAGUAAAAAAAAAAUGAAAACUGUGUAUGCUAAUUACUUUUAUUAUUAAUGAAGUUUUAUUACAAGUUUAUAAA
Molecule: long non-coding RNA, 1802 nt
Organism: Ananas comosus (pineapple)
Lineage: Eukaryota; Viridiplantae; Streptophyta; Magnoliopsida; Poales; Bromeliaceae
Exons: 4
Source: RefSeq, a predicted model, not a curated record